GUGAGGAAUAUUGGACAAUGGGCGCAAGCCUGAUCCAGCCAUGCCGCGUGCAGGAAGACGCAUCUAUGGUGUGUAAACUGCUUUUGUACGGGAAGAAACACUCCCUCGCGAGGGAGCUUGACGGUACCGUAAGAAUAAGGAUCGGCUAACUCCGUGCCAGCAGCCGCGGUAAUACGGAGGAUCCAAGCGUUAUCCGGAAUCAUUGGGUUUAAAGGGUCCGUAGGCGGUUUAAUAAGUCAGUGGUGAAAGCCCAUCGCUCAACGAUGGAACGGCCAUUGAUACUGUUAGACUUGAAUUACAAGGAAGUAACUAGAAUAUGUAGUGUAGCGGUGAAAUGCUUAGAUAUUACAUGGAAUACCAAUUGCGAAGGCAGGUUACUACUUGUGGAUUGACGCUGAUGGACGAAAGCGUGGGGAGCGAACAGGAUUAGAAACCCUGGUAGUCC
This 445-nucleotide ribosomal RNA is filed under the name uncultured bacterium. RNAcentral's name for it is "partial 16S ribosomal RNA". It matches the Rfam family "Bacterial small subunit ribosomal RNA", at positions 354 to 796 of the family's 1533-position model. The record is from RNAcentral.